Molecule: ribosomal RNA, 796 nt
Filed under: fungal endophyte
Lineage: Eukaryota; Fungi
Description: eukaryotic LSU rRNA
Rfam family: Eukaryotic large subunit ribosomal RNA (bases 474-796)
Source: RNAcentral
AUUAAUUACGAAAGCUGUAGCCCCUUCGGGGGCUAUUGCAUCCACCCUUUGUCUAUGUGUACCUCUUGUUGUUUCCUCGGCAGGCUUGCCUGCCGCCAGGAACCCCCUAAACUCUUGUAUUUACAGUAUUAAAAUCUCUGAUAACUAUUUAAAUUAUUACAACUUUCAACAAUGGAUCUCUUGGUUCUGGCAUCGAUGAAGAACGCAGCGAAAUGCGAAAAGUAGUGUGAAUUGCAGAAUUCCGUGAAUCAUCGAAUCUUUGAACGCACAUUGCGCCCCUCGGUAUUCCGUGGGGCAUGCCUGUUCGAGCGUCAUUUACACCCUCAAGCUCUGCUUGGUGUUGGGCGUCUGUCCCGCUUUACGCGCGGACUCGCCCCAAAGUCAUUGGCAGCGGUCGUGCCAGCUUCUCGCGCAGCACAUUUGCGUUUCUUGAAGCUCGGUGGAUCAGCAUCCAGUAAGCUCUUUUUAUGACUUGACCUCGGAUCAGGUAGGGAUACCCGCUGAACUUAAGCAUAUCAAUAAGCGGAGGAAAAGAAACCAACUGGGAUUGCCCUAGUAACGGCGAGUGAAGCGGCAAUAGCUCAAAUUUGAAAUCUGGCUCCUUUUAGGGGUCCGAGUUGUAAUUUGCAGAGGGUGCUUUGGCGUUGGUAGCGGUCUAAGUUCCUUGGAACAGGACAUCGCAGAGGGUGAGAAUCCCGUUUGUGGUCGCAUGCCUUCGCCGUGUAAAGCCCCUUCGACGAGUCGAGUUGUUUGGGAAUGCAGCUCUAAAUGGGAGGUAAAUUUCUUCUAAAGCUAA